RNAcentral lists this ribosomal RNA (322 nucleotides) under Halorubrum sp. E3. RNAcentral's name for it is "bacterial SSU rRNA". It matches the Rfam family "Archaeal small subunit ribosomal RNA", at positions 1 to 324 of the family's 1478-position model. Lineage: Archaea; Methanobacteriati; Methanobacteriota; Halobacteria; Halobacteriales; Haloferacaceae. The record is from RNAcentral.
AUUCCGGUUGAUCCUGCCGGAGGCCAUUGCUAUUGGGAUCCGAUUUAGCCAUGCUAGUCGCACGAGUUCAGACUCGUGGCGAAUAGCUCAGUAACACGUGGCCAAACUACCCUUCGGAGCUCCAUACCCUCGGGAAACUGAGGCUAAUAGAGCAUACCACAAUCCACCUGGAAUGAGGAUUGUGCCAAACGCUCCGGCGCCGAAGGAUGUGGCUGCGGCCGAUUAGGUAGACGGUGGGGUAACGGCCCACCGUGCCAAUAAUCGGUACGGGUCAUGAGAGUGAGAACCCGGAGACGGAAUCUGAGACAAGAUUCCGGGCCCU